RNAcentral lists this transfer-messenger RNA (249 nucleotides) under Mesorhizobium sp. M1A.F.Ca.IN.022.07.1.1. RNAcentral's name for it is "partial transfer-messenger RNA". It matches the Rfam family "Alphaproteobacteria transfer-messenger RNA", at positions 1 to 243 of the family's 355-position model. Rfam says of the family: Bacterial tmRNA, also known as 10Sa RNA or SsrA, is named for its dual tRNA and mRNA-like properties. Its role is to liberate the mRNA from a stalled ribosome. The record is from RNAcentral. Lineage: Bacteria; Pseudomonadati; Pseudomonadota; Alphaproteobacteria; Hyphomicrobiales; Phyllobacteriaceae.
GCCCUUUCAUUUUCCGUAACCGCUCCCUAUAUUCGCUUCGUCGGCUUGACCGACUAUGGCGAUAAACAGGCGAUGAAAUAAGCCGUUCGGACCCGGGGGCGGUACCCGGCGCCUCCACCAAAAACCGCUCUUCCAAAGGGAGCGGCUUUUGCUGGGGGCGAAAUAGGAUCGACGAAGGUGUAAAGAUCGUACUUUUGCCCGGCAUUGUACCACCGUCAUCGGGCUAAACUUAUAGUUGCCAACGACAAC